RNAcentral lists this ribosomal RNA (253 nucleotides) under uncultured bacterium. RNAcentral describes it as "partial 16S ribosomal RNA". It matches the Rfam family "Bacterial small subunit ribosomal RNA", at positions 524 to 776 of the family's 1533-position model. The record is from RNAcentral.
UACGUAGGGUGCGAGCGUUAAUCGGAAUUACUGGGCGUAAAGCGUGCGCAGGCGGUUUCACAAGCUCGAUGUGAAAGCCCCGGGCUUAACCUGGGAAUGGCAUUGAGGACUGUGGAGCUCGAGUGCGGCAGAGGGAGGUUGAAUUCCACGUGUAGCAGUGAAAUGCGUAGAGAUGUGGAGGAACACCGAUGGCGAAGGCAGCCUCCUGGGCCGACACUGACGCUCAUGCACGAAAGCGUGGGGAGCAAACAGG